RNAcentral lists this ribosomal RNA (450 nucleotides) under uncultured bacterium. Its description in RNAcentral is "partial 16S ribosomal RNA". It matches the Rfam family "Bacterial small subunit ribosomal RNA", at positions 354 to 796 of the family's 1533-position model. The record is from RNAcentral.
GUGGGGAAUAUUCCGCAAUGGACGAAAGUCUGACGGAGCAACGCCGCGUGAGUGAUGAAGGUUUUCGGACUGUAAAGCUCUGUUGUUUAGGACGAAAGUGCCUGUUGCAAAUAGUUACAGGUAUUGACGGUACUGAACGAGGAAGCCACGGCUAACUACGUGCCAGCAGCCGCGGUAAUACGUAGGUGGCAAGCGUUGUCCGGAAUUAUUGGGCGUAAAGAGCAUGUAGGCGGGAAUCUAAGUCUGUUGUGAAAAUGCGGGGCUCAACCCCGUAUUGCGAUGGAAACUGGGUUUCUUGAGUGCAGGAGAGGAAAGGGGAAUUCCCAGUGUAGCGGUGAAAUGCGUAGAUAUUGGGAGGAACACCAGUGGCGAAGGCGCCUUUCUGGACUGCGUCUGACGCUGAGAUGCGAAAGCCAGGGUAGCGAACGGGAUUAGAUACCCGUGUAGUCC